UCCGGUUGAUCCUGCCGGAGGUUACUGCUAUCGAGGUUCGACUAAGCCAUGCGAGUCGAAUGUAGCAAUACAUGGCGUACUGCUCAGUAACACGUGGACAACCUACCCUUGAGACGGGGAUAAACCCGGGAAACUGGGUAUAAUACCCGAUAGAUCUCGACUGCUGGAAUGCAUCGAGCUCCAAAGCUCCGGCGCUCAAGGAUGGGUCUGCGGCCUAUCAGGUAGUAGUGGGUGUAGCGUACCUACUAGCCUACGACGGGUACGGGUUGUGAGAGCAAGAGCCCGGAGAUGGAUUCUGAGACACGAAUCCAGGCCCUACGGGGUGCAGCAGGCGCGAAAACUUUACAAUGCUGGAAACAGCGAUAAGGGGACCUCGAGUGCCAGGUUACAAAUCUGGCUGUCGUGAUGCCUAAAAAGCAUUGCAUAGCAAGGGCCGGGCAAGACCGGUGCCAGCCGCCGCGGUAACACCGGCGGCUCGAGUGGUAACCGUUAUUAUUGGGUCUAAAGGGUCUGUAGCCGGCCGGAUAAGUCUCUUGGGAAAUCUGGCAGCUUAACUGCCAGGCUUUCAGGAGAUACUGUCUGGCUCGAGGCCGGGAGAGGUGAGAGGUACUUCAGGGGUAGGGGUGAAAUCUUGUAAUCCUUGAAGGACCACCAGUGGCGAAGGCGUCUCACCAGAACGGACCUGACGGCAAGGGACGAAAGCUAGGGGCACGAACCGGAUUAGAUACCCGGGUAGUCCUAGCCGUAAACGAUACUCGCUAGGUGUCGGCCACGGUGCGACCGUUGUCGGUGCCGUAGGGAAGCCGUGAAGCGAGCCACCUGGGAAGUACGGCCGCAAGGCUGAAACUUAAAGGAAUUGGCGGGGGAGCACCACAACGGGUGGAGCUUGCGGUUUAAUUGGAUUCAACGCC
RNAcentral lists this ribosomal RNA (911 nucleotides) under uncultured archaeon. RNAcentral's name for it is "bacterial SSU rRNA". It matches the Rfam family "Archaeal small subunit ribosomal RNA", at positions 1 to 919 of the family's 1478-position model. The record is from RNAcentral.